RNAcentral lists this ribosomal RNA (393 nucleotides) under uncultured bacterium. Its description in RNAcentral is "partial 16S ribosomal RNA". It matches the Rfam family "Bacterial small subunit ribosomal RNA", at positions 523 to 918 of the family's 1533-position model. The record is from RNAcentral.
AUACGGAGGAUGCGAGCGUUAUCCGGAUUUAUUGGGUUUAAAGGGUGCGUAGGCUGUGCGUUAAGUCAGGGGUGAAAUGCCGUCGCUCAACGACGGAGCUGCCCUUGAUACUGGCGUGCUGGAGUACGGAUGCCGUUGGAGGAAUGAGUGGUGUAGCGGUGAAAUGCUUAGAUAUCACUCAGAACACCGAUUGCGAAGGCAUCUGACGAAUCCGUCACUGACGCUGAGGCACGAAAGCGUGGGGAUAGAACAGGAUUAGAUACCCUGGUAUUCCACGCCGUAAACGAUGAUGACUAACCGUCGGCGAUAGACAGCCGGUGGCCAAGCGAAAGCGAUAAGUCAUCCACCUGGGGAGUACGUCGGCAACGAUGAAACUCAAAGGAAUUGACGGGG